Long non-coding RNA from Ictalurus punctatus (channel catfish), 1272 nucleotides. The record is from Ensembl. Lineage: Eukaryota; Metazoa; Chordata; Actinopteri; Siluriformes; Ictaluridae.
AUGAAUGAGAGAGAAAAUGUCCCAAGGUUGUCACUUAAAAUCUGUUAUGAUCUCAUUCUUUAAAAUGCUAAAUAUAGGCCGAUUAAAAUGAUUUGUACAGCACUUUUAACAAUGGACAUUGUCACAAAGCAGCUUCUCAGAAAUAUAUCAAUUCUGUACAUUUUUAUGAAUUUAAAUUAACCUACUUUGGCAACUACAGUAUUUGGUUAUCUGUGACAUGCAGUGGUACAGCAGGUAGUUUUCCUGACAGCUCCAGGGUUCCCCGUUCAAUCCUGAGCUCUGUUUACUGUCUGUACCUAUUUUCUCUGCAUGUUCUCCCCAUGUCUCUCUGUGUGUGUUUCCUCUGGGUUCUAUUUUAUUUUCUUCCAUCUCCCAAAACAUAUGCAGUGGCUAAGAAAAAUUGCCCUUAGGUGUGAAUGUGUUUACAUGGAGCCCUGUGAUGGACUGGUGAUCCAUCCAGAGUGUAUUCCCACCUCAUGCCCAGUGUUCCUGGCUGGGACAAACUUCCUAUGACCCCUAAUUACCUUUUUCCUUUCGCUAAUGUAAAAUUGAUAAUGAUGGGCACAUAUUUUCAUGUCCAGCUGUCAGUUAUAAUUAAUCUAACAUUUACAAAAGUGAAAUGUGGAAUUUAAACCCCUUAUAAAUGUGUUAUGCAUCCAACAACCAUGUCUGGUAUUCAUUUCCAAUCUAUUUGGUUUUUCAUUAAGUUUAGGCAAAUUUAAGUUAGUGAAAUUACUAUUUUUUUAAAUUUAUAAUUCAUGGUUUAUAGCAGUGUCUACACAAACAGGGCUUUACAGCGUCACUAAUAUGUUCAGUUAGCAUGUAAUGGUUUAUACCCUUUUGUUUAUGUACUGUAAUAUCAAAUAAGGCUUUGCGGUGUCAUUAGCUAUUGUUUUUAUUUUUCUUUUCUCUCUGUAAAUCACUAUUUGGAUAAAACCUGUGCAAAAUAAACAAACCUGUAAAUCUGAAUAUAGCUGAGUCAGUGAAUCUUUUCAGUACAGUAACAGCAUCAAAAACCAAAUUCAGUAAUUAUUAAUCUGAAAUAUGUAAGUAGCACAUGCACAGACUUAAUUUACUCGGUUAUAUCUUCCUCUCAGAUGACAGAGUAGGUGAUGCAAAAAAAUUCACAAAAUGUUCACACUGGAGGGUAAAAAGAAAUCCAACAUUUUAUCUGUUCCUGUACUUUUGCUUGCCUAAAAAUUGGGUGGUCUGAUACAAAAGGUUCUAUGUUGUUUAACUCAUCUAGAUGUAAACAAUAGGAAAUAAAAGCUG